CGCAGUAAACGAUGAUUACUGGCUGUUUGCGAUACAAUGUAAGCGGCUGAGCGAAAGCGUUAAGUAAUCCACCUGGGGAGUACGUUCGCAAGAAUGAAACUCAAAGGAAUUGACGGGGGCCCGCACAAGCGGAGGAACAUGUGGUUUAAUUCGAUGAUACGCGAGGAACCUUACCCGGGCUUGAAAUGCAUCUGACGUAGGCAGAGACGUCUAUUCCCUUCGGGGCAGAUGUGUAGGUGCUGCAUGGUUGUCGUCAGCUCGUGCCGUGAGGUGUCGGCUUAAGUGCCAUAACGAGCGCAACCCUCAUCAUUAGUUACCAACAGGUCAAGCUGGGGACUCUAGUGAGACUGCCAUCGUAAGAUGUGAGGAAGGUGGGGAUGACGUCAAAUCAGCACGGCCCUUACGUCCAGGGCGACACACGUGUUACAAUGGGUGGUACAAAGGGCAGCUACCUGGCGACAGGAUGCUAAUCUCGAAAACCACUCUCAGUUCGGAUCGGAGUCUGCAACUCGACUCCGUGAAGCUGGAUU
This 530-nucleotide ribosomal RNA is filed under the name uncultured bacterium. Its description in RNAcentral is "bacterial SSU rRNA". It matches the Rfam family "Bacterial small subunit ribosomal RNA", at positions 798 to 1332 of the family's 1533-position model. The record is from RNAcentral.